RNAcentral lists this ribosomal RNA (433 nucleotides) under uncultured bacterium. RNAcentral's name for it is "partial 16S ribosomal RNA". It matches the Rfam family "Bacterial small subunit ribosomal RNA", at positions 29 to 507 of the family's 1533-position model. The record is from RNAcentral.
AACGAACGCUGGCGGCAUGCCUAACACAUGCAAGUCGAACGAGACCUUCGGGUCUAGUGGCGCACGGGUGCGUAACGCGUGGGAACCUGCCCUUAGGUUCGGAAUAACUCCCCGAAAGGGGUGCUAAUACCGGAUAAUGUCUUCGGACCAAAGAUUUAUCGCCUUUGGAUGGGCCCGCGUUGGAUUAGCUAGUUGGUAGGGUAAAAGCCUACCAAGGCGACGAUCCAUAGCUGGUCUGAGAGGAUGAUCAGCCACACUGGGACUGAGACACGGCCCAGACUCCUACGGGAGGGAGCCGUUGGGGAUAUUGGAAAAUGGGCGAAAGCCUGAUCCAGCAAUGGCGGGUGAGUGAUGAAGGCCUUAGGGUUGUAAAGCCCUUUUACCCCGGAUGAUAAUGACCGUACCGGGAGAAUAAGCUCCGGCUAACUCCGUG